RNAcentral lists this long non-coding RNA (1077 nucleotides) under Phasianus colchicus (ring-necked pheasant). Its description in RNAcentral is "lncRNA (ENSPCLG00000008283.1)". Lineage: Eukaryota; Metazoa; Chordata; Aves; Galliformes; Phasianidae. The record is from RNAcentral.
GGUGGCUCUUCAGGAGAGGUCAGGAUGGAUGGAGGGUGAUGGAUGGUUGUUAUUGAACUGGUGCGCAGUGCGAGGAGCAGUGCUGAGACAACUCCCUUCCCUACGCUUGCUAAUGGAUAGGAGGGAAGAUCUGUCCUGCCUGUCAAAUGCGGUGUUGUCCAUUGCUUCCUGCAGCCUGGCUGACAGAGUGCUUUAUUUAUGCACCAUGACCCAUGCAGGGAUGGUCAGCCCAUCGCUCACUCCAGCAGCUCAAGCAAGAGUUUAUUUCAAUGCAGUAGUGAUGGCAUUCAGCCGGAGGUCUCCAGCACUGAGCUCCCUCUCCCAGCUGGAAGCACGCAUCUCGGAACAGCUCCUGAGCGGCUGUUCUCACAGCAUUCCUGCCCCGCUCUGACAUGGGAAGUGAAAGCUUCGGGAGAGAGAGCUUCCUGCCAGAGCCCAUGCAGUGCUGCACCCCAAAGGCUGCACCCCAUGGGGACCGCCCGCUGCAGAUGGGUGCUACAGACAGAGCCGGUCCGGAGCGCCUGCGGGAGGAUUUCAUCACUCACUCUUAGGCUGAGUGCAUAUUCGUCAUUUAUGGAUUUCUUUUUAAUGGAUGAAAUUCCUUCCCUUUAAAAGAGAAACCCCACGGCUGAUGGCACAAACAGCUGUGCUGAGAAAUAGCAUCAGAGCAAACCUUGUCGAUAUUCCUCCCCCGGCGUCCUGAGGAUCCUAACAGCUUUUGACUUGCAGAAUGACUCCGAAUGCAAAGGAAUUUCUAAGAGAAGGCAGGAAGCGUGCCCUGGCUGCUCCCAAACACCCUCUGCUGGGCCCCAUCUGCCAGCCCUUUGAAUACCCUUGGGUCAAGGCCACCCCUUGCUCCCUUCUCCUUGUGCCAUAGAAGCUCCUGUGUGUCAGGGAGUGCUGUCCCACUGCCACUUGGCAUUGACUCCAAGUUAAGUUUCCAACUGCUCCCCAGGGAAGCAGUUUCUCCAGCCCCCCAAAACAUUAUUGAGUUGGACGUGCGUUCUGCUCCUGGAUGGAUCCUGGCCACUGGAAUAUCCAUCUGAUAAUCAAAUAAAACAGCCCAGCCCCCCUGCA